This 422-nucleotide ribosomal RNA is filed under the name uncultured bacterium. RNAcentral describes it as "bacterial SSU rRNA". It matches the Rfam family "Bacterial small subunit ribosomal RNA", at positions 358 to 772 of the family's 1533-position model. The record is from RNAcentral.
GGAAUCUUCCGCAAUGGACGAAAGUCUGACGGAGCAACGCCGCGUGAGUGAUGAAGGUUUUCGGAUCGUAAAGCUCUGUUGUUAGGGAAGAACAAGUAUCGGAGUAACUGCCGGUACCUUGACGGUACCUAACCAGAAAGCCACGGCUAACUACGUGCCAGCAGCCGCGGUAAUACGUAGGUGGCAAGCGUUGUCCGGAAUUAUUGGGCGUAAAGCGCGCGCAGGCGGUCUUUUAAGUCUGAUGUGAAAGCCCACGGCUCAACCGUGGAGGGUCAUUGGAAACUGGAAGACUUGAGUACAGAAGAGGAGAGUGGAAUUCCACGUGUAGCGGUGAAAUGCGUAGAUAUGUGGAGGAACACCAGUGGCGAAGGCGACUCUCUGGUCUGUAACUGACGCUGAGGCGCGAAAGCGUGGGGAGCGAA